GACGAACGCCGGCGGCGUGCUUAACACAUGCAAGUCGAACGGAAAGGCCCUGCUUUUGUGGGGUGCUCGAGUGGCGAACGGGUGAGUAACACGUGAGUAACCUGCCCUUGACUUUGGGAUAACUUCAGGAAACUGGGGCUAAUACCGGAUAGGAGCUCCUGCUGCAUGGUGGGGGUUGGAAAGUUUCGGCGGUUGGGGAUGGACUCGCGGCUUAUCAGCUUGUUGGUGGGGUAGUGGCUUACCAAGGCUUUGACGGGUAGCCGGCCUGAGAGGGUGACCGGCCACAUUGGGACUGAGAUACGGCCCAGACUCCUACGGGAGGCAGCAGUGGGGAAUAUAGCACAAUGGGCGGAAGCCUGAUGCAGCAACGCCGCGUGCGGGAUGACGGCCUUCGGGUUGUAAACCGCUUUCGCCUGUGACGAAGCGUGAGUGACGGUAAUGGGUAAAGAAGCACCGGCUAACUACGUG
Molecule: ribosomal RNA, 468 nt
Filed under: uncultured bacterium
Lineage: Bacteria
Description: partial 16S ribosomal RNA
Rfam family: Bacterial small subunit ribosomal RNA
Source: RNAcentral